Molecule: small RNA, 559 nt
Filed under: Pan troglodytes (chimpanzee)
Lineage: Eukaryota; Metazoa; Chordata; Mammalia; Primates; Hominidae
Description: processed transcript
Source: RNAcentral
AGAGUAAUGCAGCUCUGCUGGCCUCCUGGGCUACAGUGCCCUUGGCCCUAUGGACUGGAGUCGCAGCAUUAGGCUGAUUUCCCUUCUGCUUUGGAGGAGACAUUUCAGGAGAUAAAUGGCAUCACCGCAGCACUGGCUGAAGAGCUCUUUGAGAAAGGAGAACAGCUCCUGGGGGCCGGCGAGGUCUUUGCCAUUGGACCCCUGCAGCUGUAUGCCGUCACGGAGCAGCUGCAGCAGGGAAAGCCCACGUGCGCCAGUGGGGAUGCCAAGACCGACCUCGGGCACAUCCUGGACUUCACCUGUCGCCUUAAGUACCUUAAGGUUUCUGGCACAGAAGGACCUUUUGGGACCAGCAACAUUCAGGAGCAGCUCCUGCCGUUCGACCUAUCAAUAUUCAAGUCCCUGCAUCAGGUGGAGAUAAGUCACUGUGAUGCUAAGCACAUCAGAGGGCUGGUUGCAUCGAAGCCCACCUUAGCCACGCUGAGUGUCCGCUUCUCAGCAACCUCGAUGAAGGAAGUCCUUGUUCCUGAAGCCUCAGAAUUUGAUGAGUGGGAGCCUG